This 915-nucleotide ribosomal RNA is filed under the name uncultured bacterium. Its description in RNAcentral is "bacterial SSU rRNA". It matches the Rfam family "Bacterial small subunit ribosomal RNA", at positions 8 to 916 of the family's 1533-position model. The record is from RNAcentral.
AGAGUUUGAUCCUGGCUCAGAUUGAACGCUGGCGGCGUGCCUAACACAUGCAAGUCGAGCGGUAACAGGUGUAGCAAUACAUGCUGACGAGCGGCGGACGGGUGAGUAGCGCUUGGGAAUCUGCCUGUUAGUGGGGGACAACCCGGGGAAACUCGGGCUAAUACCGCAUACGCACUACGGUGGAAAGCCGGGGACCGCAAGGCCUGGCGCUAACAGAUGAGCCCAAGUCGGAUUAGCUAGUUGGUAGGGUAACGGCCUACCAAGGCGACGAUCCGUAACUGGUCUGAGAGGACGACCAGUCACACCGGAACUGAGACACGGUCCGGACUCCUACGGGAGGCAGCAGUGGGGAAUAUUGGACAAUGGGCGAAAGCCUGAUCCAGCGACGCCGCGUGGGUGAAGAAGGCCUGCGGGUUGUAAAGCCCUUUCAGUGGGGAAGAAAAGCCUCGAGCUAAUACCUCGGGGUCUUGACGUAACCCAUAGAAGAAGCACCGGCUAACUCUGUGCCAGCAGCCGCGGUAAUACAGAGGGUGCAAGCGUUAAUCGGAAUUACUGGGCGUAAAGCGCGCGUAGGCGGCUUUGCAAGUCGGGUGUGAAAUCCCCAGGCUUAACCUGGGAACUGCAUUCGAGACUGCAUUGCUAGAGUAUGGGAGAGGGAAGUGGAAUUUCCGGUGUAGCGGUGAAAUGCGUAGAUAUCGGAAGGAACAUCAGUGGCGAAAGCGACUUCCUGGACCAAUACUGACGCUCAUGUGCGAAAGCGUGGGGAGCAAACAGGAUUAGAUACCCUGGUAGUCCACGCCAUAAACGAUGAGAACUGGAUGUCGGGAGGGUCUGCCUCUCGGUGUCGUAGCUAACGCGUUAAGUUCUCCGCCUGGGGAGUACGGCCGCAAGGUUGAAACUCAAAUGAAUUGACGG